AACGAACGCUGGCGGCGUGCCUAACACAUGCAAGUCGAACGAGAUCUUCGGGUCUAGUGGCGCACGGGUGCGUAACGCGUGGGAAUCUGCCCUUUGGUUCGGAAUAACAGUUGGAGACGACUGCUAAUACCGGAUGAUGACGAAAGUCCAAAGAUUUAUCGCCAGAGGAUGAGCCCGCGUAGGAUUAGCUAGUUGGUGUGGUAAAGGCGCACCAAGGCGACGAUCCUUAGCUGGUCUGAGAGGAUGAUCAGCCACACUGGGACUGAGACACGGCCCAGACUCCUACGGGAGGCAGCAGUGGGGAAUAUUGGACAAUGGGCGAAAGCCUGAUCCAGCAAUGCCGCGUGAGUGAUGAAGGCCUUAGGGUUGUAAAGCUCUUUUACCCGGGAUGAUAAUGACAGUACCGGGAGAAUAAGCUCCGGCUAACUCCGUGCCAGCCGCCGCAGUAA
This 449-nucleotide ribosomal RNA is filed under the name uncultured bacterium. Its description in RNAcentral is "partial 16S ribosomal RNA". It matches the Rfam family "Bacterial small subunit ribosomal RNA", at positions 29 to 523 of the family's 1533-position model. The record is from RNAcentral.